ACCGUACUCCUACGGGAGGCAGCAGUAGGGAAUCUUCCGCAAUGGGCGAAAGCCUGACGGAGCAACGCCGCGUGAGUGAUGAAGGUCUUCGGAUCGUAAAACUCUGUUAUCAGGGAAGAACAAACGUGUAAGUAACUGUGCACGUCUUGACGGUACCUGAUCAGAAAGCCACGGCUAACUACGUGCCAGCAGCCGCGGUAAUACGUAGGUGGCAAGCGUUAUCCGGAAUUAUUGGGCGUAAAGCGCGCGUAGGCGGUUUUUUAAGUCUGAUGUGAAAGCCCACGGCUCAACCGUGGAGGGUCAUUGGAAACUGGAAAACUUGAGUGCAGAAGAGGAAAGUGGAAUUCCAUGUGUAGCGGUGAAAUGCGCAGAGAUAUGGAGGAACACCAGUGGCGAAGGCGACUUUCUGGUCUGUAACUGACGCUGAUGUGCGAAAGCGUGGGGAUCAAACAGGAUUAGAAACCCCAGUAGUCCUUGAC
Molecule: ribosomal RNA, 479 nt
Filed under: uncultured bacterium
Lineage: Bacteria
Description: bacterial SSU rRNA
Rfam family: Bacterial small subunit ribosomal RNA
Source: RNAcentral